AACGAACGCUGGCGGCAUGCCUAACACAUGCAAGUCGAACGAGACCUUCGGGUCUAGUGGCGCACGGGUGCGUAACGCGUGGGAAUCUGCCCUUCGGUUCGGAAUAACUCAGGGAAACUUGAGCUAAUACCGGAUAAUGACGUAAGUCCAAAGAUUUAUCGCCGAAGGAUGAGCCCGCGUAGGAUUAGCUUGUUGGUGGGGUAAUGGCCCACCAAGGCGACGAUCCUUAGCUGGUCUGAGAGGAUGAUCAGCCACACUGGGACUGAGACACGGCCCAGACUCCUACGGGAGGCAGCAGUGGGGAAUAUUGGACAAUGGGCGAAAGCCUGAUCCAGCAAUGCCGCGUGAGUGAUGAAGGCCUUAGGGUUGUAAAGCUCUUUUACCCGGGAUGAUAAUGACAGUACCGGGAGAAUAAGACUCCGGCUAACUCCGUG
Molecule: ribosomal RNA, 434 nt
Filed under: uncultured bacterium
Lineage: Bacteria
Description: bacterial SSU rRNA
Rfam family: Bacterial small subunit ribosomal RNA
Source: RNAcentral